CAUGUCCUUUUGAUUAUAAUUUAAGGUUUGAUCUGCUCAAUGAAAGGUUAAAUUGCCGCAGUAUUUUAACUGUGCAAAGGUAGCAUAAUAAUUAGUUUUUUUAUUGAAAGCUUGAAUGAAUGAUUGGACGAGAAAAUUGCUGUCUCUUUUUAAUUUUUAUUGAAGUUAAUUUUUAAGUUAAAAAGCUUAAAUAUUAUUUAUAGACGAGAAGACCCUAUAGAGUUUUAUUUUUCCUUGAUUUGUUAUUAUUUAGUAAUUUUUAUUAUAAUUUUUGGUUGAAUUUAAUUGGGGUGAUUAAAAAAUUUGGUAAACUUUUUUAAAUAUUUAUUACUUAUGGGUGAAUUUUGAAUCUAGUUUUUCUAAGCUUAAUAUAAAUUACCUUAGGGAUAACAGCGUUAUUUUUUUUUGAAGUUCUUAUUUAAAAAAAGGAUUGCGACCUCGAUGUUGGAUUAAAAUUUACUUUUGGUGCAGAAGCUUUAAGGUUAAGUCUGUUCGACUUUUAAAAUUUUACAUGAUCUGAGU
RNAcentral lists this ribosomal RNA (522 nucleotides) under Malthininae sp. UPOL 001316. Its description in RNAcentral is "partial 16S ribosomal RNA". The stretch from base 386 to 522 matches the Rfam family "Bacterial large subunit ribosomal RNA", at positions 2473 to 2610 of the family's 2925-position model. Lineage: Eukaryota; Metazoa; Arthropoda; Insecta; Coleoptera; Cantharidae. The record is from RNAcentral.